This 380-nucleotide ribosomal RNA is filed under the name uncultured bacterium. RNAcentral's name for it is "bacterial SSU rRNA". It matches the Rfam family "Bacterial small subunit ribosomal RNA", at positions 29 to 411 of the family's 1533-position model. The record is from RNAcentral.
AUUGAACGCUGGCGGCAUGCCUUACACAUGCAAGUCGAACGGCAGCGCGGGAGCAAUCCUGGCGGCGAGUGGCGAACGGGUGAGUAAUAUAUCGGAACGUGCCCAGUAGUGGGGAUACCGGCGAAAGCCGGAUUAAUACCGCAUGAGACCCUGAGGGUGAAGGCGGGGGAUCGCAAGACCUCGCGCUAUUGGAGCGGCCGAUAUCAGAUUAGCUAGUUGGUGGGGUAAAGGGCCUACCAAGGCAACGAGUCUGUAGUUGGUCUGAGAGGACGACCAGCCACACUGGGACUGAGACACGGCCCAGACUCCUACGGGAGGCAGCAGUGGGGAAUUUUGGACAAUGGGCGCAAGCCUGAUCCAGCAAUGCGCGUGCAGGAGAA